This is an RNA transcript of Apis cerana (Asiatic honeybee), 3875 nucleotides long. It is a transcript of the gene named sex-lethal homolog, with no coding region annotated. NCBI's taxonomy places the organism in Eukaryota, Metazoa, Arthropoda, Insecta, Hymenoptera, Apidae. The record is from RefSeq and is a predicted model, not a curated record.
AUAAUCUAUUUAUACUUUUUAUACAUAUUUAUAUAUAAUUAUUAUUAUAAUAUUGAAUAAAAAAGUAUAAGAAAUUUUUUGAAUUAAAUCUUUCAAAUCAAAAUUAAUAUAAAAAAAAACAAGAUUUUCAACUAAUUUAAAAGAUAAAAUUAAUAAUAAGCGAAAAAAAAUAUACUUUCAAGUGAAACCUAACCUCGCAAAUGAAUACCGUUCAUUAUUAAUAUUAACCCAAUUCCUCUAUGAAAUAGUAUAUUAAUUUUUUCAUUUAUUUUAAAGAAAAAAAUGCAAUUAAUAAUGACAAGAAAAAAUCAUAGUCAAAUAUUUGCUAUAUUCAUUUUUUAUUUUUCGUUUGUUCAUAUUAAGAAACAUUAGGUAGUAGUAACUUCAAUGAUUUCAAUUCAUAGCGAACAAAGUCAAGGUGCAAUGAAUUUUCACAGAAAUUUUUUUUCGUGCAUCAAGAAUUGCAUGUACGAAACCAAUUAAAUCGUUCAAUGAAAUCUUGAAGUGGGAAACACGAUAAAUUUCAUUGAGUUAGUGCGCACGUGCAUGUUUAUAGCAUAGCCGUGAAAAAAAAAAUCUUCGUAAAAUGCGCCACUGCAUCCGAAAAGCAUUGUGAAUGCGACACGACCGACAUGUGAAAAUGAAAAAUCGCUCACUUCGACAGAAGAUACUCUAACACUUAGUGUUAUGUUUCACACACGCUCGAAAUGGCUACAAACGAACAAAACGAAGAUACGCAAAAUAAUGUAAAUCCUCAAGUCAGUUGGAGUACGCAGGAGUCAGAGCCGCACAACUCACAGUUGGUAGCAUCAAAUCAAGAACUGCAGAAUCAAACUCCAAAUCAGAAAGUAGAUCAAGAAUUUGCUAAAAUGACAGAUCAACGAGAACAACAACCUCAACCACAACAACAGCAACAGGCGCAACAGCAACAACAAACCAAAGGCAAUGAAGAACCAAGAACAAAUUUGAUUAUCAAUUAUCUUCCACAGAGUAUGACAGAAAAAGAUCUUUACAGUCUUUUUGUAACUAUUGGGCCUGUGGAAUCUUGUCGUGUUAUGAAAGAUUAUAAGACAGGGUACAGUUAUGGUUUUGGAUUUGUUAAUUAUGCAAAAGCUGAAGACGCAGCCACAGCUAUAAGUACUUUAAAUGGACUUCAAGUUCAGAACAAAAGGCUAAAAGUAUCUUUUGCACGACCAUCUGGUGAAGAAAUUAAAGAAACUAAUCUAUAUGUAACAAAUUUGCCGAGAAAUAUAACCGAAAGUCAGAUUGAUGAUAUAUUUAGUAAAUAUGGAAAUAUUGUGCAAAAAAAUAUUUUAAAAGACAAACUUACUGGAUUACCAAGAGGUGUAGCAUUUGUAAGAUUCGAUAAACGGGAAGAAGCACAAGAAGCGAUCGCACGACUACAUGGAACGAUACCAGAAGGUGGAUCAGAGCCACUUAGCGUAAAAAUCGCGGAGGAACACGGAAAACAAAAAGCGGCAUACUACGCUGGAUGGCAGGCUGGUUACAAUCAGAGCAGAGGAGAACGUCUGUAUCCGACCAGGAAUAAAUACCAGCGUUAUGCACAUUACCUUUAUUAAAAGAAGAACGCAAUUUCUUGUUCGGUACUCAUUGUUACCCUUAUAGUUAUGCUACCAUGAAUUCCUAUUGAUGUAAUGAGAUUGGCAUGAUUAAGUGCGCUUAUACCAGCACAAUUGUUACCACUUUUAUUGUAAUUCGAAAAAAGGGAUUUAUAAAGAUAAGGAAAACAAAUUUUGCUUUUUGAUUAAAUCUUUUAAGAUUGCUUCGUUUUUUCUUAAUGAUCUUAUCCUAGUUCAAUUUCAUUUUUUUGUUUAAUACAAAUUGUACAGUUUCUUAGAAUUGAACCUAAUUUUUUCACAAAGCAAAACUGUUUGUAAUUAAAUAAAAAAAUCACACAAUUUGCUCAACAAAUGUAAACGAGUACUUUGUAAUUUAUCAGAAAACCAAUCUAUAAUUCUAAAGUUCUUUUCUAAAGAAAAAGAAACUUUAGAUACAAUUUUACUGUUUUAAAAAUAUUCCUUGAAUAUUUGUAUAAUAAUACAAUUUAACACUUUGACCUAAAAUAUAGGAAACAUUCAUUUAAUCUUGUAUUGUAUUGGAGAUAAUAGCUUAAAAGAUUAAUUAAAAUAAACAUAAGUUUCUGAUAUUUUUAGAGUCAAUGUGCUGAAUAAGAAAAAAGAGAUAUUUGUGGAUUUUAAAUUGAAUAAUUAAGUUGUAAUUACUUUUACAACUUUAAAUAAUUAGAUGACUCCUUGCAAACGUUGCAUAAUUUUUACAAUUGUCUGUUAUCUGAUGGCCUGUUCAUCGUGUUCACUAAUAUUGACUUUAGUGAACUAUAUAGAUAGUGAAAAUAUGUAUAGAUAUUCAUCCUGUAAAACAAUUGGGACAAUUAGUUAAAUAAAUUAUAUUGUCUUAAAAAAUUGAUGGAUGAAAUUGUAGAUGAAUUUAGUUGUCAUAAAGACAAUUUGAAUAAUAGACGAGCGAAUAGGCUUAAAAAGUGUUGUCGAGUCAUAUUUAAUAAAUUGUUGCUAAAGUAACAAUAUUGAACGAUAAAAAUUGUGAUCGAUUGGAAGCAUGAUGACAAUUUUUUCAUAUAUGAAGUUAAAAUCUUCGCUGUUACUUAUUUUUAUCGCUAUAUAUAUAGAUUUAAGUAUAUAUACAUGUGUCUGCAUAUAUAUAUAUAUAUAUAUAUAUAUAUAUAUAUAUAUAUAUAUAUAUAUCUCAGUUAAAAAAAUGUGAAUUUCGAAGUUAAUUGGAAUAUAUAAGAAAUAUUUGUAUCUCCUGUGACCCUGACAAUCGUUCCUUUUUUAGUCGGUUUUUUGCGACCGUAUUAAAUCUUUACAAAUGAUUAGGACAUGAAUGCUUUUGAUAUAGUCCGUAAUAAUAUAAUAAAAUAAUAAAUCCUAAUAGAAAGUAUCUUGCUCGUAUAUUAAUAAUACGUUCAAGUGCAUGAUAUGAUUAAAAACAGGAGUGCAUAACCUUUUUUAACUUAAAUGACAUUUUUAUUGUAUUUUAUUUUAUUUCAUUUUACUUUAUUUUACUUAAAAGAAAUGAAUAAUAUAUGAAUAAUAUGACGAAUAUGAUUAGGUUUUUCAGAUUUUAUUUAGUUGAGUAGGAUUUGAUUUCUCAAGAAUAUUUUUUUUUUUUGAUUCUUCACAUAUAUUAAUAAUUAUGUAUUAAUUUUUAAUAAUAAAUUAAAAAUAAGUAAAUAUAAUAAAAAUUUAAAAAAAUUGUCAUUUUUAAAUAUAUUAGUCUUUUUAUUAUCAUUCAUCAUUAUCAUCAUCAUCAUCAUCAUCAUCAUCAUCAUCGUCAUCAUCAUCAUCAUUAUUGUAUAUUUGAACAAUUAAAAAUUAAUGAAAUUAAUAUAUUAUUGAUAAAAAAUGAUAGGUUGUGCACUCUCGAAUGAGAAAAAGAAAGAAAAAAUAAAAACUUAAAUCUUGUUAGGAAUUUAAUAUUGCGAAUGCGCUGGUAUUUGAACCCCUUUCCAUACAACUAAUGUCUGUUGUAAAAUUUCUAUCACUAUGAAAUUUCAAUUGGAGAAAUACAAUAAUUAGUGAUCGUAACGAUUUGGAUAAAAAAGGAAUGGUGAAAGAAACAGGAAACUAAUUAGUAUUUAAGUCAAUCCAGUUAAUGAGUGCUGGAGGUGGUCUAGGCGGUGGAGGAAGAGGCAGAGGUAUUGGAGGUCCGCCAGGAAUGGGCAUAGGUAUUAGUGGAGGUGGACCAGGAAUGUUAGGAAGAGCAGGAGGUGGUUUCGGGCCGCGUGGCGGGCCACACGGCAGCUUUCUUGGCGGAAGUGGCGGUCCAGGCGCUAUGAGGAUGGAAAAAAUUCAUCCACAUCGCUUUAAUCCUAUUGG